Molecule: unclassified non-coding RNA, 275 nt
Filed under: Hevea brasiliensis (rubber tree)
Lineage: Eukaryota; Viridiplantae; Streptophyta; Magnoliopsida; Malpighiales; Euphorbiaceae
Source: RNAcentral
AAGCAAACUAAUGAACUAAAAGAGAUAAAAACCAGGGAAGUAAAAGGGUGACCAGAUGGUCCAAUAUUAAGCUUGGACAAAGUAAUUUAGAUCAUCCAAUUGAACUGGAGAUGAAACGGCAAUCUAUAGAAACAUAUAAAUGAGAAACAAUGAAUGAAACUUGCGGAUAUCAUCAAAAGAAUGGAUUGGAAAUGAAACAAUUUAAGGGACAACCGAAAACGAAAACUUAGAAGAGAAGGUACUAUUCUUGGAUGAAAGGAUAUCCUACACCCAAA